GAGUUUGAUCCUGGCUCAGGACGAACGCUGGCGGCACGCCUWACACAUGCAAGUCGARCGGAGAUAUUUUGGUUUACUGAGAUAUCUUAGUGGCGGACGGGUGAGUAACACGUGAGCAACCUGCCUSUGAGAGAGGGAUAGCUUCUGGAAACGGAUGGUAAUACCUCAUAACAUAACGAAGCCGCAUGACUUUGUUAUCAAAGAUUUAUCACUCAGAGAUGGGCUCGCGUCUGAUUAGAUAGUUGGUGAGGUAACGGCUCACCAAGUCGACGAUCAGUAGCCGGACUGAGAGGUUGAACGGCCACAUUGGGACUGAGGCACGGCCCAGACUCCUACGGGAGGCAGCAGUGGGGAAUAUUGCACAAUGGGGGAAACCCUGAUGCAGCGAUGCCGCGUGGAGGAAGAAGGUUUUCGGAUUGUAAACUCCUGUCUAAAGGACGAUAAUGACGGUACUUAGAAGAGUGGGGUC
This 469-nucleotide ribosomal RNA is filed under the name uncultured Bacillota bacterium. RNAcentral's name for it is "bacterial SSU rRNA". Lineage: Bacteria; Bacillati; Bacillota. The record is from RNAcentral.